GUAAUUUUCGGGAGGAGAUUUGGAAGAUUCUCGCUGUCUUCGUAGUCAAGGCUAAGUCAAGUUACAGCACUUCCAGAAGAUAUUGUUUUCCCCCUGAGGACGCUCUUGGAGGUUGCUGCAAUGGAGCAGAAAUUGGCAGACCCCACCUUCCACAAAACAAGUGGUUGGCGUGGUGGCAGAAAUUGGAGGAAGAACAUUGGAUGAAGUCACCAGAAGAAUGAUGGCCUUCCUUUUAGACCACUCCCUAUCAAGAGAGUACAAUUUUGUUGGCUGCCAUGGAAAGCAAGAGUUUCGGGGCUCAAACUGUUUGAGUUUGUAUAUGGAAGCUUGAAAAAAAAUGCCCUUACAAACCAGAUUACUAGAAGAGAUGCUGAAAAGGCAGUGUCAAAGUGGCUAAUUGGUGCCAGGGACAGGGCAUGAAACCGUACAGCGAG
Molecule: long non-coding RNA, 434 nt
Organism: Esox lucius (northern pike)
Lineage: Eukaryota; Metazoa; Chordata; Actinopteri; Esociformes; Esocidae
Source: Ensembl